UACGUAGGUGGCAAGCGCUAUCCGGAUUUAUUGGGCGUAAAGGGAACGCAGGCGGUCUUUUAAGUCUGAUGUGAAAGCCUUCGGCUUAACCGGAGUAGUGCAUUGGAAACUGGGAGACUUGAGUGCAGAAGAGGAGAGUGGAACUCCAUGUGUAGCGGUGAAAUGCGUAGAUAUAUGGAAGAACACCAGUGGCGAAGGCGGCUUACUGGACUGUAACUGACGUUGAGGCUCGAAAGCGUGGGGAGCAAACAGG
RNAcentral lists this ribosomal RNA (253 nucleotides) under uncultured bacterium. RNAcentral describes it as "partial 16S ribosomal RNA". It matches the Rfam family "Bacterial small subunit ribosomal RNA", at positions 524 to 776 of the family's 1533-position model. The record is from RNAcentral.